GACUGAGUGGCGGACGGGUGAGUAACGCGUGGAUAACCUGCCUCACACAGGGGGAUAACAGUUGGAAACGACUGCUAAUACCGCAUAAGCGCACAGCACCGCAUGGUGCAGUGUGAAAAACUCCGGUGGUGUGAGAUGGAUCCGCGUCUGAUUAGCUAGUUGGCGGGGUAACGGCCCACCAAGGCGACGAUCAGUAGCCGGCCUGAGAGGGCGACCGGCCACAUUGGGACUGAGACACGGCCCAGACUCC
This 250-nucleotide ribosomal RNA is filed under the name uncultured Lachnospiraceae bacterium. RNAcentral describes it as "partial 16S ribosomal RNA". It matches the Rfam family "Bacterial small subunit ribosomal RNA", at positions 89 to 339 of the family's 1533-position model. The record is from RNAcentral. Lineage: Bacteria; Bacillati; Bacillota; Clostridia; Lachnospirales; Lachnospiraceae.